UCCUCAGGGAAGCCGAGGUAGCCAACAGGCGUGGAACUACAAGAGUUUCCAAAGGCCUCUGGAUCCUGUAGUUCUGCCGCCUCCUUAGCCUGCAGAGCACGCUGCUGUCCCGGCUGUCCCCAGGGAGACGGGAUGAAAACACUUCGGGGACACCAGGAAACUGCUCUCGCGUCUCUUUAAGUAGAAACCUAGCGUCGAUUUAGCUCCCACGCACAAGUCUCAUGAUUUUCCCAGAAGUUUUUUUUUUUCCUUUUUUCUUUUUUUAAAGAAAUGUUUUAUCUGCAUAAAACAUCACAAUCACAGAAUCGUGGCCCAAAGGAAAUCCUUUUUAUUUUCUUUCCGGAUUGUGAGGAAAUUUGAAAAUAUUUCCUCCACCCGUCCUUUAAACCUGGAUUCAUUUCCUUGGGAAAGCAAGAAUAGAGAGAGCUUGGAACUCUGCAGUGUCCGGUUUCAGGAAACCAGGUAGCCUCGGAGAGGAGAGAAAGGAACACAGAUUCCUAAGCAGCAUUAGGAAGUCUGAUGCCUGGUGAAGUAAACUCGCUGAGGAAGUGAACUCCACCUGCCUGAGGUCCCAGUGUCCGAGGAAGAAGGGUCCAGGAAGAAAAGUUCCAGGGUACGGAAAAUCGUGAGACUCAGACGUCAUCCUUCACGUGAACCUAGGAUGCUAGAGAUGCGAAGGAUAGUAAAAAAGUCAUCAGCUUGGCUAGGAAGGGUUUUGUUGCUUGUUUUAAUGUGGUACCCACCUAUAGAACACUGUGGCCAAGCCAGGAAAAGGAGUGAAUGCUGAUAGACUCUGCAAGAGAGAAGGACCUAGGAAAACUAGGGCUGGAGAGAUGGCUCGGCAGUUAAGAAGGCUUCCUGCAUUCCCAGAAGACCAAAGAUCAUUUCCCAGCACCCAUGUCAGGCACUAACAGCUGCCGGUAACUCCAUUUCCAGGGCAUCCAGUGACCUCUUCUGGCCUCUGUGAGAACUGCACACGAAUGGCAGCUCCACCAGAGCCUGCAGCCCUGUUCUUCUCCUGUGGGUGGUGCUUCUUCAGCGGAAGCAUCCAUCAGAGGAAGGCUUCUAGAACAGAGGCCCACUGUGAACAGAAGCUUGCUUGGGAAAACUCUUGGACCCUAUCUAAAGCUAGGCUCUUCGGAAAUUUUACUUCUUUUUCUGGAACAAGGAUUGCAGGGCUGGAACUCAGGAGAGGUGGCACUCACCUGGCGCCACCAUGUUGGUGGUACUCCCAGCACUAGGGAGGCAGAGAUAGGAAGAUCACAAGUUCAAGCUCAUCCUCAGUUACACAGCAAGUUCAAGGCCAGCCUGAGCCACAGGAGACCUUUUCUUGAAUACAAAGAUGGAUUUAGGGUACGGCUGAACAGAGGAGUGUGUGCUUGGAAUGGGUACGGAAUGGGCCACCAGCACCACAGAGAACUAAAGGAGAGAAGAAUUACCUCUGCAGAGAACAUUUAACUCAACUUUACAAGGUUCUCCCCGGAAUAUUUGGACAAUGAUUUGAAAUUGUGAUGUUGAAGACAAGUUCAGCAGGACAACGU
Long non-coding RNA from Meriones unguiculatus (Mongolian gerbil), 1541 nucleotides. RefSeq lists it as uncharacterized. Lineage: Eukaryota; Metazoa; Chordata; Mammalia; Rodentia; Muridae. The record is from RefSeq and is a predicted model, not a curated record. The transcript has 3 exons.